AUUGAACGCUGGCGGCAGGCCUAACACAUGCAAGUCGAGCGGAGCGGCGGACGGGUGAGUAAUGCCUAGGAAUAUGCCUGGUAGUGGGGGAUAACGUCCGGAAACGGGCGCUAAUACCGCAUACUAUCAGAUGAGCCUAGGUCGGAUUAGCUAGUGGGUGGGGUAAAGGCCUACCAAGGCGACGAUCCGUAACUGGUCUGAGAGGAUGAUCAGUCACACUGGAACUGAGACACGGUCCAGACUCCUACGGGAGGCAGCAGUGGGGAAUAUUGGACAAUGGGCGAAAGCCUGAUCCAGCCAUGCCGCGUGUGUGAAGAAGGUCUUCGGAUUGUAAAGCACUUUCAGCGAGGAGGCGUUACUCGCAGAAGAAGCACCGGCUAACUCCGUGCCAGCCGCCGCGGUAAUUC
This 407-nucleotide ribosomal RNA is filed under the name uncultured bacterium. RNAcentral describes it as "partial 16S ribosomal RNA". It matches the Rfam family "Bacterial small subunit ribosomal RNA", at positions 30 to 526 of the family's 1533-position model. The record is from RNAcentral.